CACGUAGGGUGCGAGCGUUGUCCGGAAUUAUUGGGCGUAAAGAGCUCGUAGGCGGUGUGUCGCGUCGGCCGUGAAAACCUGCAGCUUAACUGUGGGCUUGCGGUCGAUACGGGCAUCACUGGAGUUCGGCAGGGGAGACUGGAAUUCCUGGUGUAGCGGUGAAAUGCGCAGAUAUCAGGAGGAACACUGGUGGCGAAGGCGGGUCUCUGGGCCGAUACUGACGCUGAGGAGCGAAAGCGUGGGUAGCAAACAGG
This 254-nucleotide ribosomal RNA is filed under the name uncultured bacterium. RNAcentral's name for it is "partial 16S ribosomal RNA". It matches the Rfam family "Bacterial small subunit ribosomal RNA", at positions 524 to 776 of the family's 1533-position model. The record is from RNAcentral.